RNAcentral lists this transfer RNA (59 nucleotides) under Uromastyx acanthinura (North-African mastigure). Its description in RNAcentral is "tRNA-Cys". Lineage: Eukaryota; Metazoa; Chordata; Lepidosauria; Squamata; Agamidae. The record is from RNAcentral.
GAAACCCACAAACAUACUAAGUUAUUUCUCCGAAUUUGCACUCCGGAACACAUGGGUCU